Molecule: ribosomal RNA, 292 nt
Filed under: uncultured bacterium
Lineage: Bacteria
Description: partial 16S ribosomal RNA
Rfam family: Bacterial small subunit ribosomal RNA
Source: RNAcentral
GUGUCAGCAGCCGCGGUAAAACGUAGGAGACGAGCGUUAUCCGGAUUUACUGGGCGUAAAGCGCGUGCAGGCGGUUAGAUAAGUCAUUUGUGAAAGCGCCCGGCUCAACUGGGUGAGGCCAGAUGAGACUGUCUAACUUGAGAGAGGUAGAGGCAAACGGAAUUCCGGGUGGAGUGGUGAAAUGCGUAGAGAUCCGGAGGAACACCAGUGGCGAAGGCGGUUUGCUGGGCCUACUCUGACGCUCAGACGCGACAGCAUGGGGAGCGAACGGGAUUAGAAACCCCCGUAGUCC